Molecule: ribosomal RNA, 406 nt
Filed under: uncultured bacterium
Lineage: Bacteria
Description: partial 16S ribosomal RNA
Rfam family: Bacterial small subunit ribosomal RNA
Source: RNAcentral
AUUGAACGCUGGCGGCAGGCCUAAUACAUGCAAGUCGAGCGAGCGGCGGACGGGUGAGUAAUGUCUGGGAAACUGCCCGAUGGAGGGGGAUAACUACUGGAAACGGUGGCUAAUACCCCAUACUAUCGGAUCUGCCCAGAUGGGAUUAGCUAGUAGGUGGGGUAACGGCUCACCUAGGCGACGAUCCCUAGCUGGCCUGAGAGGAUGACCAGCCACACUGGGACUGAGACACGGUCCAGACUCCUACGGGAGGCAGCAGUGGGGAAUAUUGCACAAUGGGCGCAAGCCUGAUGCAGCCACGCCGCGUGUGUGAAGAAGGCCUUCGGGUUGUAAAGCACUUUCAGCGGGGAGGCGGUACCCGACGAAGAAGCAACGGCUAACUCCGUGCCAGCAGCCGCGGUAAUUC